Molecule: ribosomal RNA, 208 nt
Filed under: uncultured bacterium
Lineage: Bacteria
Description: partial 16S ribosomal RNA
Rfam family: Bacterial small subunit ribosomal RNA
Source: RNAcentral
UGCGUAGGUGGUUAUGUAAGUUAGGUGUGAAAUUCCCGGGCUUAACCUGGGGACUGCGCCUGAUACUGCAUAGCUAGAGUACUGUAGAGGGAAGUGGAAUUUCCGGUGUAGCGGUGAAAUGCGUAGAUAUCGGAAGGAACAUCGGUGGCGAAGGCGACUUCCUGGACAGCUACUGACACUGAGGCACGAAAGCAUGGGGAGGCAAACA